Molecule: ribosomal RNA, 876 nt
Filed under: Clausilia rugosa parvula
Lineage: Eukaryota; Metazoa; Mollusca; Gastropoda; Stylommatophora; Clausiliidae
Description: partial large subunit ribosomal RNA
Source: RNAcentral
UUAAACUAAAAUUUAAAUAUUUUUUUGUUCCCGAAGCAAAAUGAGCUAAUUAGAGCACUAUACUUUCAGGGUACACUAGCGAGCAAUGUGGAAAAAUUGCUUAAAGAAGUCUAAUUAGGGGUGAAAGGCUAGUCAAAUUUUGCUGAUAUCUGGAUAAAUUUUAAAAAUAUUUAGUAUUAAAGUCAGAUUUGAAAAUCUAAGCUUUCAAAUAAAUAAAAUUGAGUUUCUUUAGUUAAGUAAGUUAUUAAUAUAAAAGUACUUGUGGGGAUCUAAUAAUAAAAAUACUAAACUUUUUAGUCCGUAGAUUUUUAAUUUCUGAAAUUUGAUAUGAGAUUUAAUAAUGUUUAAAUGAGUAUUUUCUAAUAAAAAAAAAGAAGGAACUCGGCAAAACUGCCCUUCAGCUGUUUACCAAAAACAUAGCUAGUUGUGGAGAUAACUAGUUAUCCCUGCCCAGUGAGCUUUUUGCUUUAACGGCCGCAGUACACUGACUGUGCAAAGGUAGCGUAAUCAAUUGGCUUUUAAAUGAAGUCGUGUAUGAAAGGGUUUAUGGAGGGAAGCUGUCUCCUUAUUUUUAAAAAUAAUUUGCUAAGCAAGUGCAAAUACUUGCAAAAUAAUUAAUAGACGAGAAGACCCUAUAAAUUUAAAAUAAAGAUAGGUAAGAUUUAUUUAUUUUAUUUUUGUUGGGGCAACAAGUUAACAGUAUUAGACAAAUUUAGCUAUCUAUUUAAACUUAUAUAACGAGUUUUUCUAAUUAUAUUAAAAUUACUGUAGGGAUAACAGCAUAAUUUCAUAAAAAUGAUUGUGACCUCGAUGUUGGACUAGGGACUUACUAAAUCAACCAUUUAAGUAAGAGGUUCUGUUCGAACUUAUACACCU